This 2754-nucleotide ribosomal RNA is filed under the name Vibrio cholerae. Its description in RNAcentral is "partial 23S ribosomal RNA". It matches the Rfam family "Bacterial large subunit ribosomal RNA". Lineage: Bacteria; Pseudomonadati; Pseudomonadota; Gammaproteobacteria; Vibrionales; Vibrionaceae. The record is from RNAcentral.
GGUUAAGUGACUAAGCGUACACGGUGGAUGCCUGGGCAGUCAGAGGCGAUGAAGGACGUACUAACUUGCGAUAAGCGCAGAUAAGGCAGUAAGAGCCGUUUGAGUCUGCGAUUUCCGAAUGGGGAAACCCAACUGCAUAAGCAGUUACUGUUAACUGAAUACAUAGGUUAACAGAGCAAACCGGGGGAACUGAAACAUCUAAGUACCCCGAGGAGAAGAAAUCAACCGAGAUUCCGGUAGUAGCGGCGAGCGAACCUGGAUUAGCCCUUAAGCACUCGGUGAAGUAGGUGAACAAGCUGGAAAGCUUGGCGAUACAGGGUGAUAGCCCCGUAACCGACGCUUCAUCGAGCGUGAAAUCGAGUAGGGCGGGACACGUGAUAUCCUGUCUGAAUAUGGGGGGACCAUCCUCCAAGGCUAAAUACUCCUGACUGACCGAUAGUGAACCAGUACCGUGAGGGAAAGGCGAAAAGAACCCCUGUGAGGGGAGUGAAAUAGAACCUGAAACCGUGUACGUACAAGCAGUAGGAGCACCUUCGUGGUGUGACUGCGUACCUUUUGUAUAAUGGGUCAGCGACUUAUAUUCAGUGGCAAGGUUAACCGUAUAGGGGAGCCGUAGCGAAAGCGAGUCUUAACUGGGCGCUCAGUCUCUGGAUAUAGACCCGAAACCGGGUGAUCUAGCCAUGGGCAGGUUGAAGGUUGAGUAACAUCAACUGGAGGACCGAACCGACUAAUGUUGAAAAAUUAGCGGAUGACUUGUGGCUAGGGGUGAAAGGCCAAUCAAACUCGGAGAUAGCUGGUUCUCCCCGAAAGCUAUUUAGGUAGCGCCUCGGACGAAUACUACUGGGGGUAGAGCACUGUUAAGGCUAGGGGGUCAUCCCGACUUACCAACCCUUUGCAAACUCCGAAUACCAGUAAGUACUAUCCGGGAGACACACGGCGGGUGCUAACGUCCGUCGUGGAGAGGGAAACAACCCAGACCGCCAGCUAAGGUCCCAAAGUAUUGCUAAGUGGGAAACGAUGUGGGAAGGCUCAGACAGCUAGGAUGUUGGCUUAGAAGCAGCCAUCAUUUAAAGAAAGCGUAAUAGCUCACUAGUCGAGUCGGCCUGCGCGGAAGAUGUAACGGGGCUAAGCAAUACACCGAAGCUGCGGCAAUAUCUUUUAGAUAUUGGGUAGGGGAGCGUUCUGUAAGCCGUUGAAGGUGAAUCGUAAGGUUUGCUGGAGGUAUCAGAAGUGCGAAUGCUGACAUGAGUAACGACAAAGGGGGUGAAAAACCUCCUCGCCGGAAGACCAAGGGUUCCUGUCCAACGUUAAUCGGGGCAGGGUGAGUCGACCCCUAAGGUGAGGCCGAAAGGCGUAAUCGAUGGGAAACGGGUUAAUAUUCCCGUACUUCUGACUAUUGCGAUGGGGGGACGGAGAAGGCUAGGUGGGCCAGGCGACGGUUGUCCUGGUUCAAGUGCGUAGGCUUGAGAGUUAGGUAAAUCCGGCUCUCUCUAAGGCUGAGACACGACGUCGAGCUGCUACGGCAGUGAAGUCAUUGAUGCCAUGCUUCCAGGAAAAGCCUCUAAGCUUCAGAUAGUCAGGAAUCGUACCCCAAACCGACACAGGUGGUCGGGUAGAGAAUACCAAGGCGCUUGAGAGAACUCGGGUGAAGGAACUAGGCAAAAUGGUACCGUAACUUCGGGAGAAGGUACGCUCUUGAUGGUGAAGUCCCUCGCGGAUGGAGCUGACGAGAGUCGCAGAUACCAGGUGGCUGCAACUGUUUAUUAAAAACACAGCACUGUGCAAAAUCGCAAGAUGACGUAUACGGUGUGACGCCUGCCCGGUGCCGGAAGGUUAAUUGAUGGGGUUAGCGCAAGCGAAGCUCUUGAUCGAAGCCCCGGUAAACGGCGGCCGUAACUAUAACGGUCCUAAGGUAGCGAAAUUCCUUGUCGGGUAAGUUCCGACCUGCACGAAUGGCGUAAUGAUGGCCACGCUGUCUCCACCCGAGACUCAGUGAAAUUGAAAUCGCUGUGAAGAUGCAGUGUACCCGCGGCUAGACGGAAAGACCCCGUGAACCUUUACUACAGCUUGGCACUGAACAUUGAACCUACAUGUGUAGGAUAGGUGGGAGGCUAUGAAGACGUGACGCCAGUUGCGUUGGAGCCGUCCUUGAAAUACCACCCUUGUAUGUUUGAUGUUCUAACUUAGACCCGUUAUCCGGGUUGAGGACAGUGCCUGGUGGGUAGUUUGACUGGGGCGGUCUCCUCCCAAAGAGUAACGGAGGAGCACGAAGGUGGGCUAAUCACGGUUGGACAUCGUGAGGUUAGUGCAAUGGCAUAAGCCCGCUUAACUGCGAGAAUGACGGUUCGAGCAGGUGCGAAAGCAGGUCAUAGUGAUCCGGUGGUUCUGUAUGGAAGGGCCAUCGCUCAACGGAUAAAAGGUACUCCGGGGAUAACAGGCUGAUACCGCCCAAGAGUUCAUAUCGACGGCGGUGUUUGGCACCUCGAUGUCGGCUCAUCACAUCCUGGGGCUGAAGUCGGUCCCAAGGGUAUGGCUGUUCGCCAUUUAAAGUGGUACGCGAGCUGGGUUUAGAACGUCGUGAGACAGUUCGGUCCCUAUCUGCCGUGGGCGUUGGAAGAUUGAAGGGGGCUGCUCCUAGUACGAGAGGACCGGAGUGGACGAACCUCUGGUGUUCGGGUUGUGUCGCCAGACGCAUUGCCCGGUAGCUAAGUUCGGAAUUGAUAAGCGCUGAAAGCAUCUAAGCGCGAAGCGAGC